UUGCUGCAUGUUUAAGCUAAAAUAAACAAACACUCAUAAACAUAAUAUUAAUUUGAGAUCAGAAACUCAUAGAAAUAUUCUAUCAAAAAAUAUUAAUUUUAACUUUAUGCACUGCGUCCUCGCUUUCUAAAGCGAGUAUAACAAAGUAAUUUAAUCUGUUGGUUUUAUGAUGUGAAACAAGUAAGUAUAAUUUAAUCGAGGAAGUUUAUGUAUUAAUGUGCAUGUAGUCGUUUUCGGUGUAUAAUAAACCCCUGAUAUGUGACGUCAUAAUUGGUUCUGGAUUAUAGCUUUCAGUAAAAGAAUUUAAUAUUACACAACUGAAAUUGUAAAUUAGCGUUUUGCACCAUCAGUGACUUUUUACAUAAAGACUUUUAGCUUAAUUUGUUCUAAGCCGUAAAAAAAUCAUUAUGGACGGGAUUCGGUGUAGCCAAAUCAACUUGGAUGACUUGUACGUGGAAACAGACGCACUGCAAGAUGAACUGUUGAAGAAUCAGGAAAAAUAUAUCGAGACGACCAUACGAGCGAAAACUGUACAGAUGGAGUUAACCUUGCAAGCCACGGAGUUGGAUAAGAAACUUAAUCUAAAAAAUGCUAAAGAAAUGUCAGUUGCCGCCGUUAAAAUGCAAAAGGAAUUUGAAGAGGAGACUGCCGAACUGGAGAAGUCAAUGGCCAAAGAUAAUGCUACAGAAUAAAUUAGAAAUAAGUCUGUUCUUUUUUAUUAACCGUGGACACAGAGAAGUUCAUUUUUGCGUGCCUUUAUUUUCAUAUGGUCGAUUCGUGACGAAACACAAGCAGAGACAUCGUAAACAUAAAAUCAAUUCCUGCAUUUCUCUGCGCGUUCGGUAGUACGCAGACUUUAAAUCGAUGCACGUUACAGGUCGAAAUCGCUGGCGAAAUAUGUACAACAAGGGUGAGUUAGAAACAAAUUCGCAUUCUGAAGUUUUUAAAUUAAACACAACUGAACUGAAACCUGUACAAAAGAGAAAAGCCUAAACCUAGAAGGUCGCAGCUGCAGUACACGUGACAAAAGGACGACUGUAAGAAACAGAAAAAUAAAUAAACACCACAAGUUCACCAAUUCCAACAUGCACACGUUUUCCAGCUUAUUUUUAACUCUUCGAAAGAAUAAGAACUUUCGAUCAGAAAUGUAGACGAGAUAGAAAGGGCAUCGUAUUCGUGGGCAUUGGGACGAAAAUACAACUCCCCACUAUGCCAUAACUUCGUAAACUGUUGCCUUUUUAUCACCAGAGCCGGUGACGAUAUAUCGAUCAUCAAGCGAAAUGUCACAGCUAAGGACAGACGAGGAUUCUUUGUGCUG
Long non-coding RNA from Ciona intestinalis (vase tunicate), 1318 nucleotides. RefSeq lists it as uncharacterized. The record is from RefSeq and is a predicted model, not a curated record. Lineage: Eukaryota; Metazoa; Chordata; Ascidiacea; Phlebobranchia; Cionidae.